AACGUAGGAGACGAGCGUUAUCCGGAUUUACUGGGUGUAAAGGGCGUGUAGGCGGUUUUGUAAGUCAGAUGUGAAAUCUCCGGGCUUAACUCGGAAACUGCAUCUGAAACUAUAAAACUUGAGUACUGGAGAGGAUAGUGGAAUUCCUAGUGUAGCGGUAAAAUGCGUAGAUAUUAGGAGGAACACCAGUGGCGAAGGCGACUAUCUGGACAGUAACUGACGCUGAGGCGCGAAAGCGUGGGGAGCAAACAGGAUUAGAUACCCGUGUAGUCCCUGAG
Molecule: ribosomal RNA, 278 nt
Filed under: uncultured prokaryote
Description: partial 16S ribosomal RNA
Rfam family: Bacterial small subunit ribosomal RNA
Source: RNAcentral